UAUCCGUGGGUUCACUGCAUCACGCACAAAUCUUUCGCCUUUUACUAAAGAUUUCCGUGCAGAGGACCAAUAAAUCGGGAUUUAACAAUUUAUUUCUGCCUUGUUUUCGGAUGAGGCU
RNAcentral lists this small nuclear RNA (118 nucleotides) under Lytechinus variegatus (green sea urchin). RNAcentral describes it as "U5 spliceosomal RNA". It matches the Rfam family "U5 spliceosomal RNA". From Rfam's summary of the family: U5 RNA is a component of both types of known spliceosome. The precise function of this molecule is unknown, though it is known that the 5' loop is required for splice site selection and p220 binding, and that both the 3' stem-loop and the Sm site are important for Sm protein binding and cap methylation. Lineage: Eukaryota; Metazoa; Echinodermata; Echinoidea; Temnopleuroida; Toxopneustidae. The record is from RNAcentral.